Stegostoma tigrinum is the source of this 1275-nucleotide long non-coding RNA. RefSeq lists it as uncharacterized. The record is from RefSeq and is a predicted model, not a curated record. The transcript is spliced from 7 exons. Lineage: Eukaryota; Metazoa; Chordata; Chondrichthyes; Orectolobiformes; Stegostomatidae.
ACUGAGAAUUGUGUCGCUGCUCAGCACUUUCUCCUCGAACGUGUGAAUUACUCCGUGUCAACCAAAGGUGAAAAUGAUAUCGACACAAUCAUCGCCUUGGAAGCUUCAUCACGAUACUACUUUGCAUUUCUGAAGAGGGAAGAAGAAAUCAAUAUGCAAAUUCAAUUCCAUGGUUUUGGAAGUCCCUUUGAGAACACGAUUCAUUUGCGCCGGCAUAAUGCUCUGACCGAGAAAGAAUUGAAGAGCCAGGACUGAGGGAAUCCUGCAUCGUUACGGUGUCAUCGUUGAGGGAGUGCUGCACUGCUGAAGGGCCGAUAGUAAGGGAGUGUGACACUGUCAGAGUGUCAUUACCAAAGGUGGGCUACAGUAUCAAAGGUACCACGCUGAGUAUUGUUAUCCCGAUAGUUCUUUCGUAUCAGUCCGUGUGUAUUCCUGGGCGAAUGUGCUCGUGUGGUCUCAGGAGUUGCGGAGGUCACAGCUCUGGGACAGCCGUUUCAUCGCCCAAUGCUGCAGGAAAAAAGCAAUGAAAGUGCCGUUAAUUUUUUGCACGGCGAGCUGCUGCAUACUAACCGGUCUCACACCAUUACCAUCACCUUGCCCUUGUGAAGGCAGAUAUGGAUAAGGUUCUAAAAGCUGAUAGAAGAUUGAAACCACUCUAAUCCUGUGACGAUGAACCUGCCCCGGAAGAGAGAGCCCAGAGAAUUGCCAAAGCUGUCCGCAAACAGUCAAUAGAAGUGAAGGAAAAUUGGGAACAACUGAAAAUCCGUGCGAGCAACUGGCAGAAACAGGUGGAAAAGGCGUUGGAGAAACUUCAAGAACUGCACAAAGUUCUGGAUGAUCUUGAGGCUCAUGUGAUAACAGCUGAGGGGGUCCACACUGGCAACCUGUGAGUGACCUGCUUAUUGACUCAUUGCAGGAUCACAUUGAUAAAACCACAGGUGAGGACUAUCUGCAAAAUCUGAGAUUGGGUUUUGAAAGACUGCAGCCUUUGUUUUGGAGAGAUAAUGGGAACUGCAGAUGCUGGAGAAUGCGAGAUAACAACGUGUGGAGCUGGAUGAAGACAGCAGGCCAAGCAGCAUCUUAGGAGCACAAAAGCUGACGUUUCGGGCCGAGAACCUUCUUCAGAAAAUGGGGAGGGGGUGCGGGUUCUGAAAUAAAUAGGGAGAGAGGGAGAGGCGGAUGGAAGAUGGAUGGAGGAGAAGAUCGGUGGAGAGGAGAGUAUGGGUACGGAGGCAGGGAGGGGAUAGGUCAGUCUGGGGAGGCCGGACAGGUCAA